UGGCUUCUCCCCACUUCCGUAACAAUCUCCACUCCGAAAGCAACAGGACUUCCUCCGGUAACUCAAAUCUAUAAUGAAGGUUUUUUUUCCAAAUUUGCAAUCUGCAUGUAAGGCAAGAAACCAAAUCCCAUCCAAAUCCAAAUCCAGACUGCUCGUCGGAGUCGUCGGAAUCGUCCUCGUCGGCGGGAGUCGGAGUGGUCGGCGGCGGUGGCCGAGGUGGAGGGCUUGGACAGGGACGAGAAGGAAAGAAGAAAUCAGCCAAAGAUCCUAAUCAAGUCAAAAAAAAAAGAGCUCUAAAUCGAAUCCAUAUUUCAGACCUAGCAACAAACUAAACCAAAACCAUAUAUAUUACAAAGUCCAUCCCCAAACCCGAGCGGGGAAUCCAUCCCCGAUGGGAUCCCCAUCCCUGCGAUAUAAGUUAAGAAAAAAUUUACUCAGAUCAUCAAUCUAGAAAAGGAAAUAUUUAUCACAAACGCAUCUUGCACCAACAUGAAAUAGAAUCGUUUAGUUUUAGAAAUCACCAUAAACAAAUCUAUAUCUAUACCUAUCUAUAAAUAAGGAAAAUUUCAAUCUACCAAUAUCUUUCUUCCGUUGCCCGGAAACCUCCGUCCGUGCCCUGUCCGGGUUCCGUUGCGGAAACCUACGUCCGUUUAACGCAGAUAAGAGAGAAAAGGAAAAUAAAAUGUUUCUAGAGUUCCCAAUGCAAAAUCUUCUAUUACUGUCGCCUGAAGGAUCGCUACGUCCCGAAAGAAUGGCUAGCCUCUAUAUCCUAUUAGUUUAAUUCGAUUGAAAAUUAAUAAAUAUAUAAUAAUUCAUAGAAAAAUCUAAAAAUUACAAAACAAAUUUUGUUCAGCUCCACAUAUAUAGAUCCAUGUAGUAAACAAAAAAUAGAUGCAAAAUGUCUGUCCUAUUAAUUUGUUUUUCUUUUAUUCUUUAAUUCAGUUGAAAAUUGGUAAAUGCGUAAAAAUUCAUAGAAAAAUCUAAAAAUUACAAAACAAAUUUUGUUCAGCUCCUCAUAUGUAGAUCCAUAUAGUAAACAAAAAAUAUCACAAAUUUUAGUAUAUUUUUUUGUUGGAGAUGCUUACCUAUGCUUUUUAAUCUAAAAAUUACAAAACAAAUUUUGUUCAGCUCCACAUAUGUAGAUCCAUGUAGUAAACAAAAAAUAGAUGCAAAAUGUCUGUCCUAUUAAUUUGUUUUUCUUUUAUUCUUUAAUUCAGUUGAAAAUUGGUAAAUACGUAAAAAUUCAUAGAAAAAUUCUAAAAAUUACAAAACAAAUUUUGUUCAGCUCCUCAUAUGUAGAUACAUAUAGUAAACAAAACAUAUCACAAAUUUUAGUAUAUUUUUUUGUUGGAGAUGCUUACCUAUGCUUUUUAAUCUAAAAAUUACAAAACAAAUUUUGUUCAGCUCCACAUGUAGAUCCAUGUAGUAAACAAAAAAUAGAUGCAAAAUGUCUGUCCUAUUAAUUUGUUUUUCUUUCAUUCUUUAAUUCAGUUGAAAAUUGGUAAAUGCGUAAAAAUUCAUAGAAAAAUUCUAAAAAUUACAAAACAAAUUUUGUUCAGCUCCUCAUAUGUAGAUCCAUGUAGUAAACAAAAAAUAUCACAAAUUUUAGUAUAUUUUUUUGUUGGAGAUGCUUACCUAUGCUUUUUAGUGUAAAAUUGAAAUUGUAGUUAUCUUGCUCCAAUUAUUAUAAAAAUUUUAUGGUAUCCUAUUUAAUGUGAUGCUUGAUUUGUGGUAAAAGUUUUAGCACCAUUUCUGCAUAUCUCACUGAUUUACUAAUUUACCUAAAUUUAUGCUUGCUAAAUAGUUUACAAUCAAUUUAAGUAUGUAAAAAUAUAAAAAAGAUGUUUCCACUACCUUUGCACGAUGUGUUGUUACGUCAUAUAAACACUUCAUAAGCCUAUGUGUUCAUAAUAUACAUACAUUUAACUGAUAUAUCAUAUUUUAUAGGAAUCAUAAUCUAAAUAAAAAACUAAAGCUAGCAACAAACUUCUCAUGUUUUAAUAUAAUACUAAAGUAUAUUAACAGAUAAUACUAGCGUAAGAUAAGAUUUGCCUAAUUUCUAUUUUUAUUCUUAAAUAAAUACGUCUCCAAGCUAUAUAUUAUUGUAAAUACUCCCUCCGGUCCAUUUUAUCUGGCGCACACGUAUAUCAAGAUUCAAACUUUUAAAACUUUGACCAUUAAUUAGACUAAUAAUUAUUAACUAUUAUAACACAAAUUUUAUAUAAUUAGAUUUGUAAAGAAUUAUACUAUCCAAUGAUUAUAAGUUUAUAAGCAUAAAUAAUAUAAUAUAAAGUAAAUGAAUGGUCAAAAUGUAAUCUAGGAGAUCGUGUCAUUCUAACCUGCGCCAGAUAAAAUGGACCGGAGGGAGUAUUAACUAUCUAAUACCAUAGAUAUCAUGGUUAUCAAUAAAAUAAAUUAUGGAAUUUAAAUUUUAUAAAAAAGAUAAAUAUAAAUAGAUAUGUAACAUUAUGUCAUCACUUUUUAUGGCUAUUUGAUGUUUUUCUCCCGUUGCAACGCACGGGCAUAUUUGCUAGUCAAAAAUAAAAUCUCACAAAUACAAGUGCUUGUGUUAGGAUGAGACAAUAGAUGCAAAAAAAAAGGCAAGAUACGCCUCUGUUGUCCACUGGCAGGCUGAGAAAAAGGAGACGAAGUCAAGCAACACGGCAAUUUCUAUCUUUGGCCUUGUUUAGUUCACCCAAAAACCAAAAAGUUUUUAAGAUUUCCUGUCACAUCGAAUCUUGCGGCAUAUGCAUGAAGCAUUAAAUAUAGACGAAAGCAAAAACUAAUUACAUAGUUUAGCUGGAAAUCGCGAAACGAAUCUUUUGAUCCGUCCAUAAUUGGAUAAUAUUUGUCACAAACAAACGAAAGUGCUACAGUACCGAAAUCCGAAAUCUUUUGGGAACUAAACAAGGCAUUUCUUCACAUCGAGGUAAUCAGGCAGCAGCGCAUGGGUGGUGCCACGGUGGUCACUAGUAACUAGCGAUGCUUGGCUGUGGGGGGUGUUCCGGUAUGCUGCAAGAAAGGGAGGGCGGAGAAGCUUCGGGUGAGGA
This 3050-nucleotide long non-coding RNA is filed under the name Sorghum bicolor (sorghum). RNAcentral's name for it is "long non-coding RNA (SBIC_LNC002363)". Lineage: Eukaryota; Viridiplantae; Streptophyta; Magnoliopsida; Poales; Poaceae. The record is from RNAcentral.